RNAcentral lists this ribosomal RNA (484 nucleotides) under uncultured bacterium. Its description in RNAcentral is "partial 16S ribosomal RNA". It matches the Rfam family "Bacterial small subunit ribosomal RNA", at positions 28 to 523 of the family's 1533-position model. The record is from RNAcentral.
GAUGAACGCUGGCGGCGUGCUUAGCACAUGCAAGUCGAACGGUGAAGCAGGAGCUUGCUCUUGUGGAUCAGUGGCGCACGGGUGAGUAACACGUGAGCAACCUGCCCCUGACUCUGGGAUAAUCGCUGGAAACCCCGUCUAAUACUGGAUAUGUGAUGUGACCGCAUGGUCUGGAUCGGGAAAGCAUUUAGGUUGGGGAUGGGCUCGCGGCCUAUCAGCUUGUUGGUGAGGUAAUGGCUCACCAAGGCGUCGACGGGUAGCCGGCCUGAGAGGGUGACCGGCCAGACUGGGACUGAGACACGGCACAGACUCCUACGGGAGGCAGCAGUGGGGAAUAUUGCACAAUGGGCGGAAGCCUGAUGCAGCAACGCCGCGUGAGGGAUGACGGCCUUCGGGUUGUAAACCUCUUUUAGCAGGGAAGAAGCGAAAGUGACGGUACCUGCAGAAAAAGCACCGGCUAACUACGUGCCAGCCGCCGCGGUAA